AGAAAUAGUGAUACAUGGUGAAAAGUAAGACUGGAGACUUCCACAUGAUGAAGAUCACUACUAAAUAGUAGUGUAGAAGAUUCGAAUUAGCAACAUGGUUUAGGAAUGGAAGAAACAUUUAUCUAGAAGUACCAAUGGUAGAGAGAUCAUAGUCAAACAGAUGAAGACUGGAUAGGAUGACAAUGUUGGAUAUACAGUUCAUUUUAUUUAGAAAUAUUUUUUGAAGCCCAAGGCAAGGCAGAGCAGGAAGAAAGGCAGUUUUCUAGCACGUGUGGCUUGUAAGGACAUAGAACCCAUUUAGUCUUCCUGGAAAUUUUGAUUUGAGACAUUCCCCUCAUUUUUCCUUCUAGGCUCCUAGAGAAGAUCCAUGAAGAACACUCAGAAUCUUCUGCUGAACUGCUGUGUCCGGAAUUGGUGGCUUCUUGAUCUCACUGACUUCAUGAAUGAAGCCGCGGACCCUCAUGGCAAAUAUAUAGGACAAUGCAAAAGCCAGAAACACAUUCCUUGACUUCAAACUGAAAAUAAGAAUACAGUCUUCUUUCAUCAGCAUUUUUGCACAACUAUGGAUUUUUAUAGGGUGGCUCUCAAAGUAUCUGCACUUCAAACAUUGUCUAUCAUUCUUUCAUCACUGGGAAAUCAUUUCAAAUAUUACAUGUAUCAAAAAUAAAAUCAGAUCAAAUUACAAAAAAAAUUAAAGUUUAUUGUGCAUACAAAAUAACAGUUCAUGACUUGGGAGACCACAAACUAAGAGUGGUAAGAAGUCGCCUUACAACAGUUACAACACAGUCUAUAAGCUCAAAGGAG
Molecule: long non-coding RNA, 804 nt
Filed under: Papio anubis (olive baboon)
Lineage: Eukaryota; Metazoa; Chordata; Mammalia; Primates; Cercopithecidae
Description: lncRNA (ENSPANG00000046826.1)
Source: RNAcentral